AGGUCUUCGGAUGCUGACGAGUGGCGAACGGGUGAGUAAUACAUCGGAACGUGCCCGAGAGUGGGGGAUAACGGAGCGAAAGCUUUGCUAAUACCGCAUACGAUCUACGGAUGAAAGCAGGGGACCGCAAGGCCUUGCGCUCAUGGAGCGGCCGAUGGCAGAUUAGGUAGUUGGUGGGAUAAAAGCUUACCAAGCCGACGAUCUGUAGCUGGUCUGAGAGGACGACCAGCCACACUGGGACUGAGACACGGCCCAGACUCCUACGGGAGGCAGCAGUGGGGAAUUUUGGACAAUGGGCGCAAGCCUGAUCCAGCCAUGCCGCGUGCAGGAUGAAGGCCUUCGGGUUGUAAACUGCUUUUGUACGGAACGAAAAGACUCCUUCUAAUAAAGGGGGUCCAUGACGGUACCGUAAGAAUAAGCACCGGCUAACUACGUGCCAGCAGCCGCGGUAAUACGUAGGGUGCAAGCGUUAAUCGGAAUUACUGGGCGUAAAGCGUGCGCAGGCGGUUAUAUAAGACAGAUGUGAAAUCCCCGGGCUCAACCUGGGAACUGCAUUUGUGACUGUAUAGC
RNAcentral lists this ribosomal RNA (570 nucleotides) under bacterium RBM-E16. Its description in RNAcentral is "bacterial SSU rRNA". It matches the Rfam family "Bacterial small subunit ribosomal RNA", at positions 74 to 641 of the family's 1533-position model. The record is from RNAcentral.